GCUAGCGAUAAUUUAAAGGGGUAAAAAAAUUUAAUUUCAUACAUUAAAAAUGAGAAUUCGAAUUUCUCUCCUGGCG
RNAcentral lists this transfer RNA (76 nucleotides) under Ceratocystis polychroma. RNAcentral describes it as "tRNA-Met". It matches the Rfam family "tRNA". Rfam says of the family: Transfer RNA (tRNA) molecules are approximately 80 nucleotides in length. Lineage: Eukaryota; Fungi; Ascomycota; Sordariomycetes; Microascales; Ceratocystidaceae. The record is from RNAcentral.